UGGGGAAUAUUGGACAAUGGGGGAAACCCUGAUCCAGCGACGCCGCGUGGGUGAAGAAGGCCUGCGGGUUGUAAAGCCCUUUCGGUUGGGAAGAAAAGUUGCGACCUAACACGUCGCGACCUUGACGUAACCAACUAAAGAAGCACCGGCUAACUCUGUGCCAGCAGCCGCGGUAAUACAGAGGGUGCGAGCGUUAAUCGGAAUUACUGGGCGUAAAGCGCGCGUAGGCGGCUUGGCAAGUCGGGUGUGAAAUCCCCGGGCUCAACCUGGGAACUGCAUUCGAGACUGCUUUGCUAGAGUAUGGGAGAGGGAAGUGGAAUUUCCGGUGUAGCGGUGAAAUGCGUAGAUAUCGGAAGGAACAUCAGUGGCGAAAGCGACUUCCUGGACCAAUACUGACGCUCAUGUGCGAAAGCGUGGGGAGCAAAC
RNAcentral lists this ribosomal RNA (426 nucleotides) under uncultured bacterium. RNAcentral describes it as "bacterial SSU rRNA". It matches the Rfam family "Bacterial small subunit ribosomal RNA", at positions 355 to 773 of the family's 1533-position model. The record is from RNAcentral.